RNAcentral lists this ribosomal RNA (254 nucleotides) under uncultured bacterium. RNAcentral describes it as "partial 16S ribosomal RNA". It matches the Rfam family "Bacterial small subunit ribosomal RNA", at positions 524 to 776 of the family's 1533-position model. The record is from RNAcentral.
UACGUAGGGUCCGAGCGUUGUCCGGAUUUAUUGGGCGUAAAGAGCUCGUAGGCGGUUCCGUAAGUCAGAUGUGAAAACUCAGGGCUCAACCCGGAGACGCCAUCUGAUACUGCGGUGACUGGAGUCUGGUAGGGGAACACGGAAUUCCUGGUGUAGCGGUGAAAUGCGCAGAUAUCAGGAGGAACACCGAUGGCGAAGGCGGUUCUCUGGGCAUGUCCUGACGCUGAGGAGCGAAAGUGUGGGGAGCGAACAGG